GGGGUUGUGGCUCAGUGGUAGAGCGCUCGCCUAGCAAGUGUGAGGCCCUGGGUUCAAUCCUCAGCACCACA
Molecule: transfer RNA, 71 nt
Filed under: Marmota monax (woodchuck)
Lineage: Eukaryota; Metazoa; Chordata; Mammalia; Rodentia; Sciuridae
Description: tRNA.Ala
Rfam family: tRNA
About the family: Transfer RNA (tRNA) molecules are approximately 80 nucleotides in length. Their secondary structure includes four short double-helical elements and three loops (D, anti-codon, and T loops).
Source: RNAcentral